This 496-nucleotide ribosomal RNA is filed under the name uncultured bacterium. Its description in RNAcentral is "bacterial SSU rRNA". It matches the Rfam family "Bacterial small subunit ribosomal RNA", at positions 28 to 507 of the family's 1533-position model. The record is from RNAcentral.
GACGAACGCUGGCGGCGUGCCUAAUACAUGCAAGUCGAGCGAAUCUUUAGGAGCUUGCUCCUGAAGGUUAGCGGCGGACGGGUGAGUAACACGUGGGCAACCUGCCUGUAAGACUGGGAUAACACCGGGAAACCGGUGCUAAUACCGGAUAAUUCUUUCCCUCACAUGAGGGGAAGCUGAAAGUCGGUUUCGGCUGACACUUACAGAUGGGCCCGCGGCGCAUUAGCUAGUUGGUGAGGUAACGGCUCACCAAGGCGACGAUGCGUAGCCGACCUGAGAGGGUGAUCGGCCACACUGGGACUGAGACACGGCCCAGACUCCUACGGGAGGCAGCAGUAGGGAAUCUUCCGCAAUGGACGAAAGUCUGACGGAGCAACGCCGCGUGAGUGAUGAAGGUUUUCGGAUCGUAAAACUCUGUUGUUAGGGAAGAACAAGUAUCGGAGUAACUGCCGGUACCUUGACGGUACCUAACCAGAAAGCCACGGCUAACUACGUG